CUUAGACUUUGGUCCUAGAGUUGAAUCUUGGUUACUGGUGAAUGAGAAUUCCCGUUAAAAUUUUAAAUUCAGUGAUAUAAAGUUUUAAAAAUAGUUAAAUAUUAGUCAAUUUCAUUAAACACUAUAGCAGUUAUUUACUUUUAAGCCUGUCUCUGGGGCAAUUUUGCAAUGAUUCCCUCCCUUUAUUGAUUCCCUCUUUAUCAGAAUCCUUGAGAGGUCCCUGUCAUCAUUGUCAGUAUCAUCAUCAUCAUCACCAUCAUCAUGGAACUGAUUCCUCUGGGAGAUUCUAGGAAAAUAAAGAGCUGGACGGGGUUAUGUGCAGCAUCCCAGACUGACGAAGACAGUGGAGAAUGCCUCUGAGUUUGGCACUGAUUGCCUGGAGAAUGCUGAAACCCAGGGAAGUGGGCAGCACAGACGUUUAUUCAUUUAAUCCUGCCAACACAGUAGGAGAUAGAAUCUACAUAUCCCUCGCUACUUAAAAGAUCCCUGCCUUCUCUCUGCUCCUCCUGUCCAUGUCUCUCCCUCCACUUUUCCCCUUCUCCCCCCCUCCUCCCAUCUUCUCCGUCCCUCGCUUCCCCAG
Molecule: long non-coding RNA, 580 nt
Organism: Camelus dromedarius (Arabian camel)
Lineage: Eukaryota; Metazoa; Chordata; Mammalia; Artiodactyla; Camelidae
Exons: 3
Source: RefSeq, a predicted model, not a curated record